Ribosomal RNA from Achromatium sp. WMS2, 122 nucleotides. It matches the Rfam family "Bacterial large subunit ribosomal RNA", at positions 2808 to 2925 of the family's 2925-position model. Lineage: Bacteria; Pseudomonadati; Pseudomonadota; Gammaproteobacteria; Thiotrichales; Thiotrichaceae. The record is from Rfam.
GGUCUCCCGGGCUUUAAAAGCCCCUAAAGGUCCGUUAUAGACUAUGACGUUGAUAGGCUGGGUGUGGAAGCGCGGUAACGUGUGAAGCUAACCAGUACUAAUUGACCGUGUGGCUUGACCAU